GGUGGCUCAGUGGUAGAGCACUUGCCUUACAUGCCUGAGGCCCUGGGUUUAGUUCUCAGCACCA
This 64-nucleotide transfer RNA is filed under the name Dipodomys ordii (Ord's kangaroo rat). It matches the Rfam family "tRNA". Rfam says of the family: Transfer RNA (tRNA) molecules are approximately 80 nucleotides in length. Their secondary structure includes four short double-helical elements and three loops (D, anti-codon, and T loops). Further hydrogen bonds mediate the characteristic L-shaped molecular structure. tRNAs have two regions of fundamental functional importance: the anti-codon, which is responsible for specific mRNA codon recognition, and the 3' end, to which the tRNAs corresponding amino acid is attached (by aminoacyl-tRNA synthetases). tRNAs cope with the degeneracy of the genetic code in two manners: having more than one tRNA (with a specific anti-codon) for a particular amino acid; and 'wobble' base-pairing, i.e. permitting non-standard base-pairing at the 3rd anti-codon position. Lineage: Eukaryota; Metazoa; Chordata; Mammalia; Rodentia; Heteromyidae. The record is from Rfam by way of RNAcentral.